AUACGUAGGGUGCGAGCGUUGUCCGGAAUUACUGGGCGUAAAGAGCUCGUAGGUGGUUUGUCGCGUCGUCUGUGAAAUUCCGGGGCUUAACUCCGGGCGUGCAGGCGAUACGGGCAUAACUUGAGUACUGUAGGGGAGACUGGAAUUCCUGGUGUAGCGGUGAAAUGCGCAGAUAUCAGGAGGAACACCGGUGGCGAAGGCGGGUCUCUGGGGAGUAACUGACGCUGAGGAGCGAAAGCAUGGGUAGCGAACAGGAUUAGAUACCCUGGUAGUCCAUGCCGUAAACGGUGGGCGCUAGGUGUAGGGGUCUUCCACGACUUCUGUGCCGUAGCUAACGCAUUAAGCGCCCCGCCUGGGGAGUACGGCCGCAAGGCUAAAACUCAAAGGAAUUGACGGGG
This 398-nucleotide ribosomal RNA is filed under the name uncultured bacterium. Its description in RNAcentral is "partial 16S ribosomal RNA". It matches the Rfam family "Bacterial small subunit ribosomal RNA", at positions 523 to 918 of the family's 1533-position model. The record is from RNAcentral.